RNAcentral lists this unclassified non-coding RNA (352 nucleotides) under soil metagenome. Its description in RNAcentral is "partial contains 5.8S ribosomal RNA, internal transcribed spacer 2, and large subunit ribosomal RNA". The stretch from base 1 to 120 matches the Rfam family "5.8S ribosomal RNA", at positions 35 to 154 of the family's 154-position model. The record is from RNAcentral.
GAUGAAGAACGCAGUGAAAUGCGAUAAGUAAUGUGAAUUGCAGAAUUCAGUGAAUCAUCGAAUCCUUGAACGCACAUUGCGCCCGCCAGUAUUCUGGCGGGCAUGCCUGUUCGAGCGUCAUUACAACCCUCAGGCCCCCGGGCCUGGCGUUGGGGAUCGGCGGAGCCCCCCGUGGGCACACGCCGUCCCCCAAAUGCAGUGGCGGUCCCGCCGCAGCUUCCAUCGCGUAGUAGCUAACACCUCGCGACUGGAGAGCGGCGCGGCCACGCCGUAAAACACCCAACUCUUCUGAAGUUGACCUCGAAUCAGGUAGGAAUACCCGCUGAACUUAAGCAUAUCAAUAAGCGGAGGA